Long non-coding RNA from Trifolium pratense (red clover), 997 nucleotides. RefSeq lists it as uncharacterized. NCBI's taxonomy places the organism in Eukaryota, Viridiplantae, Streptophyta, Magnoliopsida, Fabales, Fabaceae. The transcript is spliced from 5 exons. The record is from RefSeq and is a predicted model, not a curated record.
AGAUCUCCAUUCCUCGCACUCACAACGCUCGAUCUCUCUCUUUCUCACUCGUGGUCGCGAAUUCGAAUUCUUCAUCUCUCUCAGUGAUGAAUCGCGAAUUCGAACCCUAGCCUCCAAUCCCUUUCACUGAAUCACAAAAUCUAAUUCCUAAUUGCAGAUUCGAGGCUCACUGAACCCUAAAAUUCAACUCAGUGAACACGAAUUGAAGCUCUCUCUCCUCACAAAUCGAAGCUCUCUCAGUGGAAAUCUGCUGUUUAAAAUCUGUCUGAUAUCUGAGGCAAUGGAUAUUAGAACAAAACAAGGGUUGCUAAAUGCUCUUGUGGGAAAGGCAGGGAAACGGAUGGAUACUCUUUUGGUUCCUUUGGAGUUGCUUUGCUUUUUUGCACGCACAAAAUUUUCUGAUAAGAAGGAUUUUAUUUGUUGGUAAAAGAGGCAGAUCAAAUGUAAGAUAACAUGGCAAAAGCAAUGAUGUUUUCACCGAGGCCUGAGUGUCCGCUCUACGCUGGCAAGAUGUAGGCUGAGGAAGAAGUGAAGGCAGUGAGUGCAAAGAAGCAAAAGUUAGAAGAGGUUAAGCUAAAGAAGGAAGGAGGAAAGUAGUUCAGAUGAAGAUUCCUCUGAUGAUUAUGAGGACGAGAAACCUGUUGCAAAGUCUGCUGCUCCCAAAAAAUAAAAGACCGCAGCUAUUUAGGAGCAUGGCCGGGUUUCUCUCUUAUUUGACGAUGUACGUUGUUUAGCUUGAGUUUUGGUAAGUUGCUAUAUAGGGGAGCUCUUAGGCCUUGUGAACUGUCUUGAUUUUGAUGACAAUGUUGGUGAUGCAAUUUAGGAAAGGGAUGUAUGGUGCUAUUGUACAAAAUAUAUUGUGAUUUGAAUUUAGUAAGUAUUAGGCUUUGGCGUUUUAGUCAUGUUAGUGGUGAACUAUCUUGAUUUAGGAAGGGAGCUAGGUAUGUGUAAAGUUAUUGUGUGGUGAAAUGUUUUGAUUUUAAUUUUGGAUGUUGAA